GACGGUGUGGUUCAACGGCAGAGCGGCAGAGAUGCAGGCGCAGGUUCGACUCCUGCCACCGUCA
This 64-nucleotide transfer RNA is filed under the name Muribaculaceae bacterium. RNAcentral describes it as "tRNA-OTHER". It matches the Rfam family "tRNA". From Rfam's summary of the family: Transfer RNA (tRNA) molecules are approximately 80 nucleotides in length. Their secondary structure includes four short double-helical elements and three loops (D, anti-codon, and T loops). The record is from RNAcentral. Lineage: Bacteria; Pseudomonadati; Bacteroidota; Bacteroidia; Bacteroidales; Muribaculaceae.